GCAGCAGCCGCGGUAAUACGAAGGGGGCUAGCGUUGUUCGGAUUUACUGGGCGUAAAGCGCACGUAGGCGGAUCGAUCAGUCAGGGGUGAAAUCCCAGAGCUCAACUCUGGAACUGCCUUCGAUACUGUCGAUCUGGAGUAUGGAAGAGGUGAGUGGAAUUCCGAGUGUAGAGGUGAAAUUCGUAGAUAUUCGGAGGAACACCAGUGGCGAAGGCGGCUCACUGGUCCAUUACUGACGCUGAGGUGCGAAAGCGUGGGGAGCAAACAGGAUUAGAUACCCCCGUAGUCCCUGUCUCUUAUAC
RNAcentral lists this ribosomal RNA (302 nucleotides) under uncultured bacterium. RNAcentral's name for it is "partial 16S ribosomal RNA". It matches the Rfam family "Bacterial small subunit ribosomal RNA", at positions 508 to 807 of the family's 1533-position model. The record is from RNAcentral.